GGAUCCAGACUUUGAUUAUGGCUCAGGAUAAACGCUGGCGGCGCACAUAAGACAUGCAAGUCGAACGGACUUAACCAUUAGUUUACUAUUGGAGCGGUUAGUGGCGGACUGGUGAGUAACACGUAAGCAACCUGCCUAUCAGAGGGGAACAACAGUUAGAAAUGACUGCUAAUACCGCAUAUACCCAAGUGUCACAUGGCACAAUGGGGAAAGGAGCAAUCCGCUGAUAGAUGGGCUUGCGUCUGAUUAGCUAGUUGGUGGGGUAACGGCCUACCAAGGCGACGAUCAGUAGCCGGACUGAGAGGUUGAGCGGCCACAUUGGGACUGAGAUACGGCCCAGACUCCUACGGGAGGCAGCAGUCGGGAAUAUUGCGCAAUGGAGGAAACUCUGACGCAGUGACGCCGCGUGCAGGAAGAAGGUUUUCGGAUUGUAAACUGCUUUAGACAGGGAAGAAACAAGACAGUACCUGUAGAAUAAGCUCCGGCUAACUACGUGCCAGCAGCCGCGGUAAUACGUAG
This 519-nucleotide ribosomal RNA is filed under the name uncultured Bacillota bacterium. Its description in RNAcentral is "bacterial SSU rRNA". It matches the Rfam family "Bacterial small subunit ribosomal RNA", at positions 1 to 530 of the family's 1533-position model. The record is from RNAcentral. Lineage: Bacteria; Bacillati; Bacillota.